AGAGUUUGAUCCUGGCUCAGGAUGAACGCUGGCGGUAUGCGUAACACAUGCAAGUCGAACGAAGUUUUUCGGAACUUAGUGGCGGACGGGUGAGUAACGCGUGAGAAUCUGCCUUAAGGAUUGGGACAACAGUGGGAAACCGCUGCUAAUACCAAAUAUGCCUUUUAGUGAAACGGGUAAAACCGCCUUAAGAUGAGCUCGCGUCUGAUUAGCUAGUUGGUGUGGUAAGAGCGCACCAAGGCAACGAUCAGUAGCUGGUCUGAGAGGACGACCAGCCACACUGGGACUGAGACACGGCCCAGACUCCUACGGGAGGCAGCAGUGAGGAAUUUUCCGCAAUGGGCGAAAGCCUGACGGAGCAAUACCGCGUGAGGGAGGAAGGUUCUUGGAUUGUAAACCUCUUUUCUCAGAGAAGAAUAAUGACGGUAUCUGAGGAAUAAGCAUCGGCUAACUCCGUGCCAGCAGCCGCGGUAAUACGGAGGAUGCAAGCGUUAUCCGGAAUGAUUGGGCGUAAAGGGUCUGUAGGUGGUUGUUCAAGUCUGCUGUUAAAGCGUCUGGCUUAACCAGAUAAAGGCGGUGGAAACUGAACGACUAGAGUGCGGUAGGGGUAGAGGGAAUUCCCAGUGUAGCGGUGAAAUGCGUAGAUCUUGGGAAGAACACCUGUGGCGAAAGCGCUCUGCUGGACCUUAACUGACACUGAGGGACGAAAGCUAGGGGAGCGAAUGGGAUUAGAUACCCCCGUAGUCC
Molecule: ribosomal RNA, 747 nt
Filed under: uncultured cyanobacterium
Lineage: Bacteria; Bacillati; Cyanobacteriota
Description: bacterial SSU rRNA
Rfam family: Bacterial small subunit ribosomal RNA
Source: RNAcentral